AUCAUUAGCCUUGCGACCCUCGGCAGCAAGACCCAUACGACCAAUAUCACGAAAAUAGUCACGCAAAGCAUUGGGAUUAUCAUAAAACGCCUCUAAUCGGUCGUCAGCCAACGUGAGAGUGUCAAAAACGAUAAACCAACCAUCAGCAUGAGCCUGUCGCAUUGCAUUCAUCAAACGCUGAAUAGCAAAGCCUCUAC
RNAcentral lists this ribosomal RNA (197 nucleotides) under uncultured prokaryote. RNAcentral's name for it is "partial 16S ribosomal RNA". The record is from RNAcentral.